UGAAGAACGCAGCGAAAUGCGAUAAGUAAUGUGAAUUGCAGAAUUCAGUGAACCAUCGAAUCUUUGAACGCACAUUGCGCCCGCCAGUAUUCUGGCGGGCAUGCCUGUCCGAGCGUCAUUGCUGCCCUCAAGCACGGCUUGUGUGUUGGGCUUCCGUCCCUGGCAACGGGGACGGGCCCAAAAGGCAGUGGCGGCACCAUGUCUGGUCCUCGAGCGUAUGGGGCUUUGUCACCCGCUCCCGUAGGUCCAGCUGGCAGCUAGCCUCGCAACCAAUCUUUUUAACCAGGUUGACCUCGGAUCAGGUAGGGAUACCCGCUGAACUUAAGCAUAUCAAUAAGCGGAGGA
This 345-nucleotide unclassified non-coding RNA is filed under the name soil metagenome. RNAcentral describes it as "partial contains 5.8S ribosomal RNA, internal transcribed spacer 2, and large subunit ribosomal RNA". The stretch from base 1 to 118 matches the Rfam family "5.8S ribosomal RNA", at positions 37 to 154 of the family's 154-position model. The record is from RNAcentral.